This 468-nucleotide ribosomal RNA is filed under the name uncultured bacterium. RNAcentral describes it as "partial 16S ribosomal RNA". It matches the Rfam family "Bacterial small subunit ribosomal RNA", at positions 28 to 507 of the family's 1533-position model. The record is from RNAcentral.
GACGAACGCUGGCGGCGUGCUUAACACAUGCAAGUCGAACGGAAAGGCCCUGCUUUUGUGGGGUGCUCGAGUGGCGAACGGGUGAGUAACACGUGAGUAACCUGCCCUUGACUUUGGGAUAACUUCAGGAAACUGGGGCUAAUACCGGAUAGGAGCUCCUGCUGCAUGGUGGGGGUUGGAAAGUUUCGGCGGUUGGGGAUGGACUCGCGGCUUAUCAGCUUGUUGGUGGGGUAGUGGCUUACCAAGGCUUUGACGGGUAGCCGGCCUGGGAGGGUGACCGGCCACAUUGGGACUGAGAUACGGCCCAGACUCCUACGGGAGGCAGCAGUGAGGAAUAUUGCACAAUGGGCGGAAGCCUGAUGCAGCAACGCCGCGUGCGGGAUGACGGCCUUCGGGUUGUAAACCGCUUUCGCCUGUGACGAAGCGUGAGUGACGGUAAUGGGUAAAGAAGCACCGGCUAACUACGUG